Molecule: ribosomal RNA, 372 nt
Filed under: Gregarinasina sp.
Lineage: Eukaryota; Apicomplexa; Conoidasida
Description: partial small subunit ribosomal RNA
Rfam family: Eukaryotic small subunit ribosomal RNA
Source: RNAcentral
AUUCCAGCUCCAAUAGCGUAUAUUAAAGUUGUUGCAGUUAAAACGCUCGUAGUUGAUAUUCUGCCACUGAGAACGAAUCUUCUUAAUACGGAGAAUUUGUUCCCAGUAGCAUCAAUCUGAAUCUACAUCGAAAGGUGGAAAUUCGGAGCAGUUACCUUGAGAAAAUUAGAGUGUUUCAAGCAGGCGUAAUGCCUUGAAUACUCCAGCAUGGAAUAACAAGUAAGGACUUUGGUUCUUCUUGUUGGUUUAGGAACCUUAGUGAUGAUUAAGAGGAACAGUCGGGGGUAUUCGUACUUGGUAGUCAGAGGUGAAAUUCUUGGAUUUACCAAAGACGAACUACUGCGAAGGCAUCUACCAUGGAUGUUUUCAUCA